UCACCAAUACCUAUCAAUUUACAAAAACUUGCAUGUACUCUGAAAGUAUUAAACCAAGACCAAACAAAAAUAACACUAAUAAUUUCCAUAAUAAAGGUAACUAAAUAAGAGGAAACAUUUGUAGGAGUGACCGAAGCACCCGAUAGGUUUAUAAAAUGAUAGAUGCAUGUCCAACGAUUCAAAGUGUGCUCCAUUACACAAGAUAUCCUUUACAAAAUGAUAGCUACAAGAUGCAUUGUUUUUGCUCCAUCACAGAAGAUAUAUCUAGGUUGACGCAAACUGACAGCAUCAUGGUUCCUUCCUGGUCCUCUGUCUUUCCUACACAACCCGACAGCAACCUGGAAAGACAAAAAAAGCAUACAAUUAAUAUACAUGCAAGCUGGUGAAAUUUCCUUUCCACUAAGUACUACAGUACUAUCUGUUCAACUUAACAGUAAAGAGCAUCAUGCAUGAAACAUAGAAACUGAAUAUACAGCCAGCUAACUUUGAGGUGAAUAAAUUCGAUUUGCAGGCCUGUAAACUUGGGGUCCUUACGGAAGUGUCACACUAAGAAUAACCAAAGUCGACCAGGAGACGCGACCCAAAGUUUUGAGAAAUAAUUGGAUGAUUCAACCAUUUCAUGAUUAUCUUCACGUGAUUUAUAUCACAGGGCGAAAAAAAUGUUGUGCACUGAACGGUUUAUGUUAUGCCGUGAAACUGAAAAUAAUUCAUGUCGAGGUGCAGACCAAAUAGCAUAAACAAAUGUUGUAGCUGUAGCUGUGUUGACUGCUACACUCAUCUAGUUAUAACUACAGGAAGCUAAGUACUAGCUGCCUUUCGACAAUGAUGACGAAAGAAAAGAUGUAUUCUCGCGUUUUCUUAUCCACAAUGACAUAAACAAAUGUUGUCUUUCCACCAUAAGAGAUCUGUAAGAUAGAAAGAAUAUGAGACAUAAAAGACAUAAUUGACACUACGUAAUUUUAUUUCUUGAACACAAGAAAGAGUCAUGUGGUCAUGUAACUUCUUUUUCUAGAGAACUGGUACCAUAUAGCUAACUAUUAGAGAUACACUUUACUGGUGUUUUCUAUCCAUGUGAGAAGUACAGUAUUUCAGCUAUCUUUGUUUAGUCUUCAGUUGUGGCCAUAAAUUGAAUGGUACUGAAUGCCAUGUUGCUAUCUCCCUGGUGGCAGCAAUAGAUACAUGGACACCGAAAACAGAAUGCUGUCUUCCUGGUGACAGCAAUAGAUACAUUGGGGAUACCACAGUUUGUAAAACCAUGGUAUGUACUUGGACAAACACCUCAAAGUAUUUUCAAAACUACAGUUUUUUUCUAGAUAAGACCACUAGUUUUCUUUCUUACUUUUCUCUGGGAUGGAAAAGACUAGUGCGCCUGACUAUUUAUAUUCAGAAAUGCAUCAGAGAAAAACAUAUGUACUUCAGUGCCACAAAUUAGAUUAAAUUAAACCUCGCAAAAAAAUAAAUUAAAUUAAGCCAUUACUUUCAGAGAAGAAUAUGUACUGUACAUACAAAUCUUCAUAGGUAUAAGAGCCAGAACCUAUGAAACCAUCAGGUUACGCAUAAGAGAAAUAAAGAUUAUAAAUACUAGGUUAGCCUAGAAACAAGAUUCAGAAAUAGCAACUUUAAAAGCAACAGCAGUGUAUUAUGCUCUGUUCUGUACUAUGGAUGUGCCAUAAUGCUGAUAAAUGUGUGUGUGUGUGCCGAGUAAGACUUGUAGUUACAAAAGGUAAUUUAACUAUGAAAUUAGCCAAAAAUAAGACGAUGAGUAUUCUCUAUUCAGCAAAACCGAAGGACCAGAUUCAUGACCAGACUGAAGGACCAGAUACAUGAACAAACAGUACAACAUGAGGUUAUUCAUGAACAAACUGAAGGACUAGAUUCAUGAACAAACAGUACUAGAGGAGGUUAUCUAAGACAAACUGAAACUAUGUAUUGUACAUUAUCUCAGACAAACUUUAGAUGAAGAGAAGUGGCAGUGAGCUAGGCAGACAUGAUAAUAAGAGAAGAUGGACCAGCCCUGGUUUGUAGCUCAAAAAAAUACUAGCUCAUUUCGGUCCCUGGUUUGUAGCUCAAAAAUGAAUACUGGCUCAGUAUUCAGAAACUGAGAAGAUUUCUCCUAUACAAAACACAAAUAAAUACUAGCUCAAAAAUAGUGAUUGGAAAAAUAUCUUGGUGGCGGGACGAG
RNAcentral lists this long non-coding RNA (2182 nucleotides) under Triticum aestivum (bread wheat). Its description in RNAcentral is "long non-coding RNA (TAES_LNC000775)". Lineage: Eukaryota; Viridiplantae; Streptophyta; Magnoliopsida; Poales; Poaceae. The record is from RNAcentral.